UAAAUACUCCCUCCGUCCAGAAUUACUUGUCGCACAAAUGGAUAUAUCUAGACAUAUUUUUAGUUUUAAAUACAUCCAUUUCUAUCUACUUCUGCAACAAGUAAUUUGGGACGAAGGAAGUAUUUA
This is a non-coding RNA of Triticum aestivum (bread wheat), 126 nucleotides long. NCBI's taxonomy places the organism in Eukaryota, Viridiplantae, Streptophyta, Magnoliopsida, Poales, Poaceae. The record is from Rfam.